RNAcentral lists this small nucleolar RNA (67 nucleotides) under Mola mola (ocean sunfish). RNAcentral describes it as "Small nucleolar RNA SNORD58 (ENSMMOG00000011324.1)". It matches the Rfam family "Small nucleolar RNA SNORD58". Rfam says of the family: snoRNA U58 is found in introns 1, 3 and 6 of the ribosomal protein RPL17 gene in humans. Lineage: Eukaryota; Metazoa; Chordata; Actinopteri; Tetraodontiformes; Molidae. The record is from Rfam by way of RNAcentral.
UUGCAGUGAUGACUACUUAGGACACCUUUGGAUGAGCCAUGAAAACAACCAGUUAACUCUGAGCAAC